GAAGGCAUGGCUCAAGUGGUAGAACACCUGCCCAGCAAGCAGGAGUCCCUGAGUUCAAUCUUCAGUACCACCA
This 73-nucleotide transfer RNA is filed under the name Dipodomys ordii (Ord's kangaroo rat). It matches the Rfam family "tRNA". From Rfam's summary of the family: Transfer RNA (tRNA) molecules are approximately 80 nucleotides in length. Their secondary structure includes four short double-helical elements and three loops (D, anti-codon, and T loops). Further hydrogen bonds mediate the characteristic L-shaped molecular structure. tRNAs have two regions of fundamental functional importance: the anti-codon, which is responsible for specific mRNA codon recognition, and the 3' end, to which the tRNAs corresponding amino acid is attached (by aminoacyl-tRNA synthetases). tRNAs cope with the degeneracy of the genetic code in two manners: having more than one tRNA (with a specific anti-codon) for a particular amino acid; and 'wobble' base-pairing, i.e. permitting non-standard base-pairing at the 3rd anti-codon position. Lineage: Eukaryota; Metazoa; Chordata; Mammalia; Rodentia; Heteromyidae. The record is from Rfam by way of RNAcentral.